ACCCCCCAGGGCUCCCUAAAGAGGGCCACGAGCUGCGAAAGGGCGGGAAAGGCAGUUGGAGAAGAGGUAAGCGGUUACUCACUCCAUGGCUGCAGCAAGGAGAGGCGGCGGCGGCCUCGGCUGAAGAAAGAAGGUGGGAGCGGAGAGCGCAGGCGUGAAACCCACCUUGUCCCAUCCACAUCAGGACAUCCCAGCUGGAGUUCAACCUUCAUCCCUUCUGUGGCAGUUAGGAGACUGAAUCAAGGUCCAGAGAAGGUGGAGGAAUCCUGAUACUGAGCGGCCUUUCCUCCCGCGUGGACGGCGCCUCUCCCCCGCCAUCCUUUCCCUGGCUGAUGCUGCAUCUGCAACGCUCAGCUUCUCCCUGGAACCUGCUCCCACAGCAUGUGGCCCGGCCCUGUGCCUGCCCUGAGCCCUGGUUGUAGAGCUGACAUUUGACUCUGGCUGCCUUGAGGGCAGGGACCGUGGCUUAACCAGCCACUCUGGGCUUCACUUUCCUCAUUUGUCAAGUGGAUCUGCCCCAAAGUUUGCUUUGAGGAAACGGGCCUCCCUCUUUCCAUUUCCAGCUUUUAGAGCUGCUUCUGCCUUCCU
RNAcentral lists this long non-coding RNA (588 nucleotides) under Homo sapiens (human). RNAcentral's name for it is "non-protein coding lnc-NUP62-1:21". Lineage: Eukaryota; Metazoa; Chordata; Mammalia; Primates; Hominidae. The record is from RNAcentral.